This is a long non-coding RNA of Gossypium raimondii (Peruvian cotton), 362 nucleotides long. RefSeq lists it as uncharacterized. NCBI's taxonomy places the organism in Eukaryota, Viridiplantae, Streptophyta, Magnoliopsida, Malvales, Malvaceae. The record is from RefSeq and is a predicted model, not a curated record. The transcript is spliced from 3 exons.
GUUACACCUGAGGAACCUAUAGAAGUUCAAAAUGAAACUGGUCGGACGCGGAGAGGUCGCGGACGUACGGUACUGAGCGAUUUAUACGACCUAGAUCCAGUCGAGCGUGUCCAAGUAUCUAGUAAUAGCUUCGGUCAGCCUGUUGGAUCAGAAGCUCGCCUUUUAGCAAGAUACAUGGGCAUUCUAGCACGGAAUGCAAAUAUGUUACCCAUUAACUUCGAGUCAUGGCAUAAAGUGCCCGAGAGUAACAAGAACCAAGCUCUGGAUAACAUUAAGGCGAGAUUUGCUCUAGAGGUCUCCGAUGCUUAUGUAAAGAAGGCAUUGGGAAAAAGAUGGAGAGACCAUAAGAGCACUUUAAAGAA